Long non-coding RNA from Tigriopus californicus, 1727 nucleotides. RefSeq lists it as uncharacterized. Lineage: Eukaryota; Metazoa; Arthropoda; Copepoda; Harpacticoida; Harpacticidae. The record is from RefSeq and is a predicted model, not a curated record. The transcript is spliced from 3 exons.
UCUUAUGCAAUAUGGCCUGAACUAACAUCUAGACUCUAUUGAUUCAAUAGAUCAACAGAUCAACCGAAACGUCUAUUAUUGAUAAAGGAUCCCAAGGCUUGAAAUUAUAACAUAUCGAGCUAGUUUCCAUUUCAUUGAUAUCGGUUCUUACUUCAAUAUAUACAGACAUUUUCAAAAUUGAUUUUUUUCAAUUUGAUGGGGAGCAUGGAUUUCGACAGGGACCUUUCAUUUGUCAAUUAAGUUCAAGACAAAGACAGUGUUCCAUCAGUUGCGUGCGGAUAUUCGAAUUUCCGGAUCAAUAGUCGACUUUCCCCUAGGUGUGACUUCAAGGCUCGUGUUAUCCGAUUUACAGCCAAUCCCCACCCAAGUCCAGUGAUCCUCAGAGUGAGAUUUGCAAGAUGGCCAAUCCCUCUCACUUCCAACUCACACACACAUGAAUGGCGAUUGAAGACGACAAUGUGGCGAAGGAAACGAAGAUCUUGUUCACCUGGCAUAAGUACAACUACUGAGGAAAAGACGAACGGGCCAGCAAAAGCCAGCCACUUUGGUCUCAAGGGAGUUUCUUUGAGGCGUGUGAAUAUGUUAAGGGAAAAUUAUGGAGACAGAAAGAAGCAAUAAAAAAGGUGGAACACAUUUUGGAGCAAAGUGAGAGAUGAAAGGCGAGAUGAAGCGACAUAUUUGGACUCGUUCGCAGCACCAUUACACCAAUCCAGCCAUGGCAGUAAAGCCAAAUGUUUUUUUGGUUGUGUUUGACCACAACUCUCAUUUAGAAUUCCGGAAAACUUACCAAAGGCCACACACAGCUCCAGUGGAAUAACAUACAAGUAUACAAGUGCUAAAGAGAGCAAGUGAAAUACACCUUGCCGAGGUGCCUGCUAGGAUACCAUCUUGAGUGCCUGGCAAUCCACAAAGAUCUUCAUAGGAAAAAAUCAUCUAAGGAGACAACGGCGUAUCAUUACGCUCAAGGCAGAAAACCUAUAAUACCCGAGGGAGACGGAACAUAUUGUGAAACAAAGCUUUUCCUCAAUUCACAUGAAAGUGCUGGAUUGCCAGUUCACAAUCCACAAAAGACCAUGAUGAACCAGUUAUCAGUUUCUUGUUCUUCAUCUUCACGUUCAGCCAAUGAAAGGACAACUCAAAGUAUGGACGCAGAUAGUAAGGAUUAGACUUUGGACAUUGAAUAGCUAUUCCUAGAAUGUGCUUUUCGAAUGGGACCACACCUGCUUGGUUCGUUCCAGUCUUCGACCAAGGAUAUCAACCCCGGCACUGUCCAUCCAUUACGGGAAACGUUCAUGGCGAAAAGAGGUAUGAAUGAACUUUGGGACGAAGUAUUCCGGGGUAACGACGACCUUGAAUGUGAAUUUGACCUGACACGCAGUUGACUUUCAGUCAUUUGUAGUCGACUCUCUAACAUCCAGACAAGGUGAGCUCAUCUUAGGUGGCUAAAAUUCAUUCAUCUCGCGAGAAAACAGGAAAACUUUCACUUAGGAAGUCUGUGUUUUAAAAAAGCUGAAAUGGAAGCCGAGGCUUCCAAGUGGAACGUGGCACUCAAGAGAAUAACAAAUGAAGACAAAUGCCUUGAAAGAGCGCCAUUGUCAUUUGCCUUCCGUCUGAUGGCCUCAAGUACAUGCCUUCCACUGAUGCUUCAUUGGAUGCAAUUCACACCCAAGAAAUAAAUAAAAAAAGAUGAUGUUGAGUAUGGUGUCCUUAAUCGUACAAUGCUAAGG